RNAcentral lists this ribosomal RNA (378 nucleotides) under uncultured eukaryote. RNAcentral's name for it is "partial 18S ribosomal RNA". It matches the Rfam family "Eukaryotic small subunit ribosomal RNA", at positions 592 to 976 of the family's 1831-position model. The record is from RNAcentral.
CAAUAGCGUAUAUUUAAGUUGUUGCAGUUAAAGAGCUCGUAGUUGGAUUUCGGGUGUGAACGACCGGUCCGUCUUUGAUGUGUACUGGUUGGUUGCGCCUUAUUGUCGAGGACGUGGUUCUAGCUUUCAUUAGCCGGGACACGGAGUCGGCAGCGUUACUUUGAGAAAAUUAGAGUGUUCAAAGCAGGCUAUCGCUCUGAAUACUACAGCAUGGAAUAACACGAUAGGACUCCGAGCCUAUUCUGUUGGUCUUCGGGACCGGAGUAAUGAUUAAGAGGGACAGUUGGGGGCAUUCGUAUUCCGAUGUCAGAGGUGAAAUUCUUGGAUUAUCGGAAGACGAGCAUCUGCGAAAGCAUUUGCCAAGGAUGUUUUCAUUAA